UGGGCAUUUUAUUCCGUUGUCAUCCACAUUCACAACACAUUAUGUUGCCUUAGCUUUUGUUGCUAAUAUCAUUGAACUACAUGGACCUCCACGAGUUAUAGUAACUGACAGGGAACCGAGAUUUAUUCACUCUAUUUGGCAGGAAAUUAAUUGACUCCAAGGCCACCACGCUAGCUAUGAGUACAACAUAUCACCCACAAACUGAUGGCCAAUCUGAAGCAUUGAAUAAGUGCAUUGAACACUAUAUGAGGUGUUUUAUUUCGGAGAGUCCUCACGAAUGGGUAACAAUACUACCUUGGAUCGAAUUUCGGUAAAACACCACCUUUUAUUUGCUUGCCGAAGUGAUACCUUUUCAGGUAUUGUAUGGGCAUGAGCCUCUUACUAUUUCUCGUUCCGUGUUGGGCGAUGCUGCAAAUGAUUUAGUCGAGAAGUACAAGCUGAAGAGAGAUGACGUUUUGGUGCUACUUCAGAACAACUUGUUCAAGGCUCAAACACAUAUGAAACUAUAUGUUGACGCUCGUCGAACGGAUUUGCAUUUGGAAGUUGGGGAUUGGGAAUUUGUGAAGCUCAAGUCUUACAGGCAGAUUUCCCUCAAUUUGCACCACCACCACAAACGCCACCGGAAGUACUUUGGUCCUUAUCAAGUGCUGAACGAAUUGGGUAUGUUGCAUACAAACUUGAUCAUCCAACUGAUGCAUAAAUUCAUCUCAUCUUUCAUAUUUCUAUGCUCAAGAAAUGUGUGAGAACACAUGUUAAACAAUUCACACCCCUAAUUCAAGUUCCUGUCGAAGAUCAACAUCAACCGAACCUUGAGGACAAGGUUCUUUGUUGGGAGGGAAGCAUUAAUAUGGAUCAGCUAGCCCAAGUUAGUAGGGAAAAUGAAAUUGGGAUCAUGACAAUUAGGAAAAGCCAAUAAAUCAAACAACCAACAAAAAGCUACAAGACUAUAUCCUAGGUUAAAGGAAAGACAAGCACGUGAGAAACAUAUGAGUGAGAAAAGUUGUUAUAUGCAAGAGUAUUGCAGAGUAGCGGGGAAGACAGAAGUGAUAGCAACUCUGAAUUCUCAUCUUAUUUCUUCUCAGUUUUCUCACGCUCUUCUAUCUUACUUUUUUAAUAAUUUUCCUAUUGUAAUUGUUUUUCUUUUGAGAGUUAAACUACCAGAUUUCCUUUCUGUAAUUUCUCUUCUUGAGUUUUCAAUUUAAGUAUUGCUACUGUUUCUGUAAUUGGGUUGAAAUUUGUUCCACCAUAACUAAUAGUAAAUACAGAAGUUGACACAUAAUUACAAGGAAAUUAGUCCAAGUAAAGCAUUUUUACUUACUAUAUAAUUAUAUAGAGAAGGAAGCAAAAGUAACAGAUACACUAGUGAAUAACUUUCGAAAUUGAUUCUAGAAAAAAAAACUAACAUCAAGCGACUAAAAAUCAAUCAAGUACUUACUCAGUACCUUUUCCCUUUUGAAAGAGGAUCAAAGUAGUUUUAGCAUGUAACCGUUUUAGCGGAAGAUAAAAAAAUUGAAGUUGAUGAUGCAUAAGAAAAGGAAACCAAAUUGAUUGAGUAUGAAAAUAAAUCAAACUUUUGCAUCUAUUAAAGUCUACUAAACUAAUCAGUACCAACUUCAUAUAAACAAAAAAAAACCAUUCCAACUACCAUAAUUAACAAUUAACAGGCUGCACAAAAUCGAGCUAAGGAAGCAUGCAAUGAUUUAAAUCUAGCAAAAUCAUUCACAUCGUCAGAACUUGGGGAUUUUCGUAUAGAGCUACAAGCACAGGGGAAAAUGGCUGGGUGGGUGAGUAUUAACCAAAACUUAACACUAAAAUCUCACCAGUAGCAAAUGGUAACACAACCAAAGAAAAAUGAUACAUGGAAUAAAUUUGAGAAGUCGAAACCUCGAAGCUCAACAGAGAAUCAGGUGAAGUUGUGGAACUCGACCAAUAACCCUCUCGAGCCUGAUUUUUGAAUUGUCCUCAUUGUCGAAGGCUUGUGUUGGAGAAGACGAGAGGGGACCCGGGUGGUCUCGAUUUCAACGAAGGGGGAAGAGAGGGAAAGGAAGGUGUGGAGUCGGUGGUGUUUUAGAGUAAUCGGGUGGUGGAGAGACGGAUGAGGUGCGGUGAGAGAUCGGGUUACGGGUCGAUCCCAUGGGUCAAUUGGAAGAAAAAGAACACUUAACUAAAAAAAAAUGCUACUCUACGAGUGGCUACUUACUUUCACACUCAUGCUUGUAACUACCGUUUACUGUUUG
RNAcentral lists this long non-coding RNA (2237 nucleotides) under Solanum lycopersicum (tomato). RNAcentral's name for it is "long non-coding RNA (SLYC_LNC000151)". Lineage: Eukaryota; Viridiplantae; Streptophyta; Magnoliopsida; Solanales; Solanaceae. The record is from RNAcentral.